GAGGAACAUGCCCCAGAGAUAGGACGGGAUGGGUCGCCAUAUUUUGUAAGCAAAUUUAAUAUUGCACUUGUCCCGGCCUAUCUCUGCUGCAUUUCAAC
RNAcentral lists this microRNA precursor (98 nucleotides) under Rhodnius prolixus. RNAcentral's name for it is "microRNA miR-92a precursor". The record is from RNAcentral. Lineage: Eukaryota; Metazoa; Arthropoda; Insecta; Hemiptera; Reduviidae.